GACGAACCGUGCGAACGUUGUUCGGAUUCACUGGGCUUAAAGGGCGCGUAGGCGGCUUGCCAAGUCAGGGGUGAAAUCUUUCGGCUCAACCGGAAAAGUGCUUCUGAUACUGGCGAGCUGGAGGGAGGUAGGGGCAGAUGGAACUUCCGGUGGAGCGGUGAAAUGCGUAGAUAUCGGAAGGAACGCCGGUGGCGAAAGCGAUCUGCUGGACCUCUUCUGACGCUGAGGCGCGAAAGCCAGGGGAGCAAACGGG
RNAcentral lists this ribosomal RNA (253 nucleotides) under uncultured bacterium. RNAcentral describes it as "partial 16S ribosomal RNA". It matches the Rfam family "Bacterial small subunit ribosomal RNA", at positions 524 to 776 of the family's 1533-position model. The record is from RNAcentral.